CACUGCUAUGGGGGUCCGACUAAGCCAUGCGAGCCAUGGGGCGCGCUCUGCGCGCACCGGCGGACGGCUCAGUAACACGUCGGUAACCUACCCUCGGGAGGGGGAUAACCCCGGGAAACUGGGGCUAAUCCCCCAUAGGCCUGAGGUACUGGAAGGUCCUCAGGCCGAAAGGGGCAUCUGCCCGCCCGAGGAUGGGCCGGCGGCCGAUUAGGUAGUUGGUGGGGUAACGGCCCACCAAGCCGAAGAUCGGUACGGGCCAUGAGAGUGGGAGCCCGGAGAUGGACACUGAGACACGGGUCCAGGCCCUACGGGGCGCAGCAGGCGCGAAACCUCCGCAAUGCGGGAAACCGCGACGGGGGGACCCCCAGUGCCGUGGCAUCGCCACGGCUUUUCCGGAGUGUAAAAAGCUCCGGGAAUAAGGGCUGGGCAAGGCCGGUGGCAGCCGCCGCGGUAAUACCGGCGGCCCGAGUGGUGGCCGCUAUUAUUGGGCCUAAAGCGUCCGUAGCCGGGCCCGUAAGUCCCUGGCGAAAUCCCACGGCUCAACCGUGGGGCUUGCUGGGGAUACUGCGGGCCUUG
Molecule: ribosomal RNA, 576 nt
Filed under: uncultured Thermococcales archaeon
Lineage: Archaea; Methanobacteriati; Methanobacteriota; Thermococci; Thermococcales
Description: bacterial SSU rRNA
Rfam family: Archaeal small subunit ribosomal RNA
Source: RNAcentral